This 283-nucleotide ribosomal RNA is filed under the name uncultured bacterium. RNAcentral's name for it is "partial 16S ribosomal RNA". It matches the Rfam family "Bacterial small subunit ribosomal RNA", at positions 28 to 307 of the family's 1533-position model. The record is from RNAcentral.
GACAAACGCUGGCGGCGUGCUUAACACAUGCAAGUCGAGCGAGAAACCCUCUUCGGAGGGAGUACAGCGGCGAACGGGUGAGUAACACGUGGGCAACCUGCCCCAAGGAGCGGGACAACCCGGGAAACCGGGCUAAUACCGCAUGAUCCGCGGUGCCUCAAGGCACUUCGGUAAAUGGUAGCUUCGGCCUCCGCCUUGGGAUGGGCCCNCGGCGCAUUAGCUAGUUGGUGAGGUAAUGGCNCACCAAGGCGACGAUGCGUAGCUGGUCUGAGAGGACGAUCAG